This 274-nucleotide ribosomal RNA is filed under the name uncultured bacterium. RNAcentral's name for it is "partial 16S ribosomal RNA". It matches the Rfam family "Bacterial small subunit ribosomal RNA", at positions 523 to 796 of the family's 1533-position model. The record is from RNAcentral.
CUACGGAGGGUGCAAGCGUUAAUCGGAAUUACUGGGCGUAAAGCGUACGUAGGCGGUUCGUUAAGUUAGAUGUGAAAGCCCCGGGCUUAACCUGGGGACUGCAUUUAAAACUGGCGAACUAGAGUUGAGUAGAGGGGAGUGGAAUUUCAGGUGUAGCGGUGAAAUGCGUAGAGAUCUGAAGGAACACCAGUGGCGAAGGCGACUCCCUGGACUCGAACUGACGCUGAGGUACGAAAGCGUGGGUAGCAAACGGGAUUAGAUACCCCAGUAGUCC